CAGCUGUCUGCCCACCCAGGCAGAGAGAAAUGAUCCAUGGCAGAGUGGCAAGGGGUCUAGAGGACUGGCACUAAAGAAAAACCAAUAAUUCCAAGGACUCGGGAACUCACGGCAGGAAUCUCGCUGCAAAACCAACAGAAGCAGUGAGGAAAUUGCUCAGCACUGGCAACUGCAUCAGGCUCCCUUCAGCUGCUGGAGGCCCUGAUUUCAUCACCCUGAGCUGCACACCAGGAAAGAGGAAGUUUGACAGUGCACCACCACAAC
Molecule: long non-coding RNA, 264 nt
Organism: Ficedula albicollis (Collared flycatcher)
Lineage: Eukaryota; Metazoa; Chordata; Aves; Passeriformes; Muscicapidae
Exons: 3
Source: RefSeq, a predicted model, not a curated record